Molecule: ribosomal RNA, 350 nt
Filed under: uncultured low G+C Gram-positive bacterium
Lineage: Bacteria; Bacillati; Bacillota
Description: bacterial SSU rRNA
Rfam family: Bacterial small subunit ribosomal RNA
Source: RNAcentral
GUAAGACUGGGAUAACACCGGGAAACCGGUGCUAAUACCGGAUAAUCCUUUUCCUCUCAUGAGGAAAAGCUGAAAGUCGGUUUCGGCUGACGCUUACAGAUGGGCCCGCCGCGCAUUAGCUAGUUGGUGAGGUAACGGCUCACCAAGGCGACGAUGCGUAGCCGACCUGAGAGGGUGAUCGGCCACACUGGGACUGAGACACGGCCCAGACUCCUACGGGAGGCAGCAGUAGGGAAUCUUCCACAAUGGACGAAAGUCUGAUGGAGCAACGCCGCGUGAGCGAUGAAGGCCUUCGGGUCGUAAAGCUCUGUUGUUAGGGAAGAACAAGUACCGGAGUAACUGCCGGUGCC